CCGGUAAACGGCGGCCGUAACUAUAACGGUCCUAAGGUAGCGAAAUUCCUUGUCGGGUAAGUUCCGACCUGCACGAAUGGCGUAAUGAUGGCCAGGCUGUCUCCACCCGAGACUCAGUGAAAUUGAACUCGCUGUGAAGAUGCAGUGUACCCGCGGCAAGACGGAAAGACCCCGUGAACCUUUACUAUAGCUUGACACUGAACAUUGAGCCUUGAUGUGUAGGAUAGGUGGGAGGCUUUGAAGUGUGGACGCCAGUCUGCAUGGAGCCGACCUUGAAAUACCACCCUUUAAUGUUUGAUGUUCUAACGUGGACCCGUAAUCCGGGUUGCGGACAGUGUCUGGUGGGUAGUUUGACUGGGGCGGUCUCCUCCUAAAGAGUAACGGAGGAGCACGAAGGUUGGCUAAUCCUGGUCGGACAUCAGGAGGUUAGUGCAAUGGCAUAAGCCAGCUUGACUGCGAGCGUGACGGCGCGAGCAGGUGCGAAAGCAGGUCAUAGUGAUCCGGUGGUUCUGAAUGGAAGGGCCAUCGCUCAACGGAUAAAAGGUACUCCGGGGAUAACAGGCUGAUACCGCCCAAGAGUUCAUAUCGACGGCGGUGUUUGGCACCUCGAUGUCGGCUCAUCACAUCCUGGGGCUGAAGUAGGUCCCAAGGGUAUGGCUGUUCGCCAUUUAAAGUGGUACGCGAGCUGGGUUUAGAACGUCGUGAGACAGUUCGGUCCCUAUCUGCCGUGGGCGCUGGAGAACUGAGGGGGGCUGCUCCUAGUACGAGAGGACCGGAGUGGACGCAUCACUGGUGUUCGGGUUGUCAUGCCAAUGGCACUGCCCGGUAGCUAAAUGCGGAAGAGAUAAGUGCUGAAAGCAUCUAAGCACGAAACUUGCC
Molecule: ribosomal RNA, 879 nt
Filed under: Escherichia coli
Lineage: Bacteria; Pseudomonadati; Pseudomonadota; Gammaproteobacteria; Enterobacterales; Enterobacteriaceae
Description: partial 23S ribosomal RNA
Rfam family: Bacterial large subunit ribosomal RNA
Source: RNAcentral